RNAcentral lists this transfer RNA (72 nucleotides) under Camelus bactrianus (Bactrian camel). It matches the Rfam family "tRNA". Rfam says of the family: Transfer RNA (tRNA) molecules are approximately 80 nucleotides in length. Their secondary structure includes four short double-helical elements and three loops (D, anti-codon, and T loops). Lineage: Eukaryota; Metazoa; Chordata; Mammalia; Artiodactyla; Camelidae. RNAcentral also lists the same sequence under 2 other names. The record is from Rfam by way of RNAcentral.
GGGGGUAUAGCUCAGGGGUAGAGUGCCUGCUUAGCAUGCACAAGGUCCUGGGUUCAAUCCCCAGUGCCUCCA